UGGGGAAUAUUGGACAAUGGGGGCAACCCUGAUCCAGCAAUGCCGCGUGUGUGAAGAAGGUCUUCGGAUUGUAAAGCACUUUCGACGGGGACGAUGAUGACGGUACCCGUAGAAGAAGCCCCGGCUAACUUCAUGCCAGCAGCCGCGGUAAUACGAAGGGGGCUAGCGUUGCUCGGAAUGACUGGGCGUAAAGGGCGUGUAGGCGGUUUACACAGUCAGAUGUGAAAUCCCCGGGCUUAACCUGGGAGCUGCAUUUGAUACGUGUAGACUAGAGUGUGAGAGAGGGUUGUGGAAUUCCCAGUGUAGAGGUGAAAUUCGUAGAUAUUGGGAAGAACACCGG
Molecule: ribosomal RNA, 340 nt
Filed under: uncultured bacterium
Lineage: Bacteria
Description: partial 16S ribosomal RNA
Rfam family: Bacterial small subunit ribosomal RNA
Source: RNAcentral